RNAcentral lists this ribosomal RNA (471 nucleotides) under Orthotylinae gen. AUSTROGEN sp. Msp155. RNAcentral describes it as "partial large subunit ribosomal RNA". It matches the Rfam family "Bacterial large subunit ribosomal RNA", at positions 1922 to 2606 of the family's 2925-position model. Lineage: Eukaryota; Metazoa; Arthropoda; Insecta; Hemiptera; Miridae. The record is from RNAcentral.
UUUAAAGGGCUGCCAGUAUUUUGACUGUACAAAGGUAGCAUAAUCAUUUGUCUUUUAAUUGAAGUCUGGAAUGAAUGGUUUGAUGAAAAAUAUACUUUCUUUUUUUUAUAGAAAAAAUUUAAUUUCUUAGUUAAAAAGCUAAGAUUUAUUUAUAGGACGAGAAGACCCUGUAGAACUUUAUUUUUGGGUUUUUGUAUUUGAUUUGGAAAAUAAUUUUAAUAUGGAAAUAUUGAAUUUUGUUGGGGUGACAGAAAAAAAUUAAUAACUUUUUCUCUUUUGAUCAUUAUAGAUGAUUUUUUGAUCCUUUAUUAUGGAUAUAAGAUUAAGUUACCCUUAGGGAUAACAGCGUUAUUUUUUCGGAGAGUUCAUAUCGAUGAGAAAGUUUGCGACCUCGAUGUUGGAUUAUAAUAAGAUGUGGGAGUAGAAUAUCAUAUUCUAGGUCUGUUCGACCUUUAAAUUUUUACAUGAUCU